GAUGAACGCUAGCGGCAGGCUUAAUACAUGCAAGACGAACGGUAAGUGUUGUAGCAAUAUAGCACGAGAGUGUCGUACGGGUGCGUAACACGUAUGCAACCUACCUUGUACAGGAGGAUAGCUCGGGGAAACUCGAAUUAACCCUCCAUAAUAUAUUUGAAUGGCAUCAUUUGAAUAUUAAAACCUUGGUGGUACAAGAUGGGCAUGCGUCUGAUUAGUUAGUUGGAGUGUAAUGGACUACCAAGACGAUGAUCAGUAGGGGGCCUGAGAGGGUGAUCCCCCACACUGGCACUGAGAUACGGGCCAGACUCCUACGGGAGGCAGCAGUAGGGAAUAUUGGUCAAUGGGUGCAAGCCUGAACCAGCCAUGCCGCGUGCAGGAAGAAGGCGUUAUGCGUUGUAAACUGUC
Molecule: ribosomal RNA, 408 nt
Filed under: uncultured bacterium
Lineage: Bacteria
Description: bacterial SSU rRNA
Rfam family: Bacterial small subunit ribosomal RNA
Source: RNAcentral